RNAcentral lists this ribosomal RNA (423 nucleotides) under uncultured bacterium. RNAcentral's name for it is "bacterial SSU rRNA". It matches the Rfam family "Bacterial small subunit ribosomal RNA", at positions 355 to 775 of the family's 1533-position model. The record is from RNAcentral.
UGAGGAAUAUUGGGCAAUGCCCGAAAGGGUGACCCAGCAACGCCGCGUGGAGGAUGAAGGUCGUAAGAUUGUAAACUCCUGUUAGAGGGGAAGAAUAACUAAGUUUGGAGCUUAGUAUGACUGUACCCUCAGAGAAAGCCCCGGCUAACUACGUGCCAGCAGCCGCGGUAAUACGUGGGGGGCAAGCGUUGUCCGGAUCUACUGGGUGUAAAGGGCGCGCAGGCGGAAUGGAAAGUCAGUGGUGAAAUCCUACAGCUUGACUGUAGAACUGCCUUUGAUACUUUCAUUCUUGAGUUCGGGAGAGAGAGACGGAAUUCCAGGUGUAGUGGUGAAAUACGUAGAUAUCUGGAAGAACACCAGUUGCGAAGGCGGUCUCUUGGUCCGAUACUGACGCUGAGGCGCGAAAGCGUGGGGAGCAAACAG